UUCCGGUUGAUCCUGCCGGAGGUUACUGCUAUCGGUGUUCGCCUAAGCCAUGCGAGUCAUAUGUUCUUCGUGAACAUGGCGUACUGCUCAGUAACACGUGGAUAACCUGCCCUUGGGACCGGCAUAACCCCGGGAAACUGGGGAUAAUUCCGGAUACCGCAUAUAUGCUGGAAUGCUUUAUGCGUGAAAUGGAUUCGUCUGCCCAAGGAUGGGUCUGCGGCCUAUCAGGUAGUAGUGGGUGUAAUGUACCUACUAGCCAACGACGGGUACGGGUUGUGAGAGCAAGAGCCCGGAGAUGGAUUCUGAGACAUGAAUCCAGGCCCUACGGGGCGCAGCAGGCGCGAAAACUUUACAAUGCGGGAAACCGUGAUAAGGGGACACCGAGUGCCAGCAUCAUAUGCUGGCUGUCCAGGUGAGUAAACUACACCUGUUAGCAAGGGCCGGGCAAGACCGGUGCCAGCCGCCGCGGUAACACCGGCGGCCCGAGUGGUGAUCGUGUUUAUUGGGUCUAAAGGGUCCGUAGCCGGUUUGGUCAGUCCUCCGGGAAAUCUGACGGCUUAACCGUUAGGCUUUCGGGGGAUACUGCCAGGCUUGGAACCGGGAGAGGUAAGAGGUACUACAGGGGUAGGAGUGAAAUCUUGUAAUCCCUGUGGGACCACCUGUGGCGAAGGCGUCUUACCAGAACGGGUUCGACGGUGAGGGACGAAAGCUGGGGGCACGAACCGGAUUAGAUACCCGGGUAGUCCCAGCCGUAAACGAUGCUCGCUAGGUGUCAGGCAUGGCGCGACCGUGUCUGGUGCCGCAGGGAAGCCGUGAAGCGAGCCACCUGGGAAGUACGGCCGCAAGGCUGAAACUUAAAGGAAUUGGCGGGGGAGCACAACAACGGGUGGAGCCUGCGGUUUAAUUGGAUUCAACGCCGGG
This 921-nucleotide ribosomal RNA is filed under the name uncultured archaeon. RNAcentral's name for it is "bacterial SSU rRNA". It matches the Rfam family "Archaeal small subunit ribosomal RNA", at positions 1 to 922 of the family's 1478-position model. The record is from RNAcentral.